RNAcentral lists this ribosomal RNA (1257 nucleotides) under uncultured bacterium. RNAcentral's name for it is "partial 16S ribosomal RNA". The record is from RNAcentral.
ACUCCGACUUCAUGGGGUCGAGUUGCAGACCCCAAUCCGAACUGAGACCGGCUUUUUGGGAUUCGCUCCACCUUACGGUAUCGCAGCCCUCUGUACCGGCCAUUGUAGCAUGCGUGAAGCCCAAGACAUAAGGGGCAUGAUGAUUUGACGUCAUCCCCACCUUCCUCCGAGUUGACCCCGGCAGUCUCCCAUGAGUCCCCGGCAUAACCCGCUGGCAACAUAGGACGAGGGUUGCGCUCGUUGCGGGACUUAACCCAACAUCUCACGACACGAGCUGACGACAACCAUGCACCACCUGUGUACGAGUGUCCAAAGAGAACCCCGUCUCGGGGGCUUUCUCGUACAUGUCAAGCCUUGGUAAGGUUCUUCGCGUUGCAUCGAAUUAAUCCGCAUGCUCCGCCGCUUGUGCGGGCCCCCGUCAAUUCCUUUGAGUUUUAGCCUUGCGGCCGUACUCCCCAGGCGGGGCACUUAAUGCGUUAGCUGCGGCACGGAACUCGUGGAAUGAGCCCCACACCUAGUGCCCAACGUUUACGGCAUGGACUACCAGGGUAUCUAAUCCUGUUCGCUCCCCAUGCUUUCGCUCCUCAGCGUCAGUUGCGGCCCAGAGACCUGCCUUCGCCAUCGGUGUUCCUCCUGAUAUCUGCGCAUUCCACCGCUACACCAGGAAUUCCAGUCUCCCCUACCGCACUCUAGUCUGCCCGUACCCGAUGCAAGCCCGAGGUUGAGCCUCGGGAUUUCACACCAGACGCGACAGACCGCCUACGAGCUCUUUACGCCCAAUAAUUCCGGACAACGCUUGCGCCCUACGUAUUACCGCGGCUGCUGGCACGUAGUUAGCCGGCGCUUCUUCUGCAGGUACCGUCACUUGCGCUUCUUCCCUGCUGAAAGAGGUUUACAACCCGAAGGCCGUCAUCCCUCACGCGGCGUCGCUGCAUCAGGCUUGCGCCCAUUGUGCAAUAUUCCCCACUGCUGCCUCCCGUAGGAGUCUGGGCCGUGUCUCAGUCCCAGUGUGGCCGGUCGCCCUCUCAGGCCGGCUACCCGUCGACGCCUUGGUAGGCCAUCACCCCACCAACAAGCUGAUAGGCCGCGAGCCCAUCCCCCACCGAAAAACUUUCCAACCCACACCAUGCGAUGCGAGCUCAUAUCCGGUAUUAGACCCCGUUUCCAAGGCUUAUCCCGAAGUGGAGGGCAGGUUGCUCACGUGUUACUCACCCGUUCGCCACUGAUCCACCCAGCAAGCUGGGCUUCACCGUUCGA